GUUACUUAUUAAACCAGCAACAGCAAAGAAUCGGAAUGCAAUAAGUGAAAAAUAAAUCAGCCCCAUUCUUUGUUCAAUCUCCUUUAUGGCCAGAUAUUAAGUUUCAUUUUGAGAAAGAAAUUAUCCUAUCAGCAACUGUUGACGUCUCAAUACUCCCACUGAAAGCACUGCUAGCCAUCAAGUCAAGAUGUCGCUGCCUUGGUCGACAUCUUCCAGAUAGCGCAUGAGAACGUCUUUUAGUUAAAUCUUCUUUUAAGUCUGUUUUUCUUCUUAAAUGUGUUUCUGAGAAUGUUGGAGCCUCCAAUUUACAGUUUGGAGAUAGUUUGAGUGAUCCAGCACUUUGCUGCCUCCGGGAAGCUUCCAGAAAGAGAGCAUAUACUCAGAAGGCCUUGAUACACAGGAACUUCGAUACAGGACUCUGCCAAAGUUCGACUCCAUUUUGCUAGUUAAAGCAUUGGGGAAGAUUGAGACAUCAAGGUGAAUGCAGAAGGCCAGCGAGAGUUCAGCGCUGAUUCCUUCCUUCAGAUCACUGCUGAAGGAGGAAUCUGUGAGUGGCCUAUCGCUGUGUGGCUCGCUGUGGCAGGCAGAGGCAUUGAUGCUGUUCUACUUACACCCACCUCUCACUUGCUUCUUUCACUUCCGGCAUGUUGGAGAACAGCGUGUGCCUCUCUGUGGGAGUUAGUACGUUCAACAGCUCUGGACACUUACUGAAAUGAUUGACAGCCACCGUCAAACUGCGCAGGUCUCUGGGGUCCUGUUUGAGUCCGUGAUCUACAGCUGCACUCAAACUGUGGUUCUUCGCGGCGGUGGGUUUCCGCUCUUGGAGCUCCCAGUGUUUUCGCUAUCUCCAGGAGCAGGCUGGAAGACGUGCGCCUAUGGCCCUGUGGACGAUCCAAUUCCUCACUAGUGUCGGCGACUGAGGCACCGCGGGAGGUUGGAACGUCAAGAUAGCUGUGCAUG
Long non-coding RNA from Hypanus sabinus (Atlantic stingray), 960 nucleotides. RefSeq lists it as uncharacterized. The record is from RefSeq and is a predicted model, not a curated record. The transcript is spliced from 3 exons. NCBI's taxonomy places the organism in Eukaryota, Metazoa, Chordata, Chondrichthyes, Myliobatiformes, Dasyatidae.